GACGUAGGGCGUGAGCGUUGUCCGGAUUUAUUGGGCGUAAAGAGCUCGUAGGCGGCUUGUCGCGUCGUCCGUGAAAACCUGCAGCUCAACUGCAGGCUUGCGGUCGAUACGGGCAGGCUAGAGUUCGGUAGGGGAGACUGGAAUUCCUGGUGUAGCGGUGAAAUGCGCAGAUAUCAGGAGGAACACCGGUGGCGAAGGCGGGUCUCUGGGCCGAUACUGACGCUGAGGAGCGAAAGCGUGGGGAGCGAACAGG
This 253-nucleotide ribosomal RNA is filed under the name uncultured bacterium. RNAcentral describes it as "partial 16S ribosomal RNA". It matches the Rfam family "Bacterial small subunit ribosomal RNA", at positions 524 to 776 of the family's 1533-position model. The record is from RNAcentral.